Molecule: ribosomal RNA, 1018 nt
Filed under: uncultured fungus
Lineage: Eukaryota; Fungi
Description: eukaryotic LSU rRNA
Rfam family: Eukaryotic large subunit ribosomal RNA (bases 340-1018)
Source: RNAcentral
AUCGAUGAAGAACGCAGCGAAAUGCGAUAAGUAAUGUGAAUUGCAGAAUUCAGUGAAUCAUCGAAUCUUUGAACGCACCUUGCGCUCCUUGGUAUUCCGAGGAGCAUGCCUGUUUGAGUGUCAUUAAAUUCUCAACCCCUCCAGCUUUUGCGAGUUGUGAUGGGGCUUGGAUCUGGGAGUUUGCGGGUCUUUAUCAAUAAAGGUCAGCUCUCCUGAAAUACAUUAGCGGAACCGUUUGCAGUCCCGUCACUAGUGUGAUAAUUAUCUACGCUGUGAUGAUUGCUCUCUGACUAGUUCAGCUGCUAAUCGUCCACUAUGGACAACACUUAAUGAACUUCUUGACCUCAAAUCAGGUAGGACUACCCGCUGAACUUAAGCAUAUCAAUAAGCGGAGGAAAAGAAACUAACAAGGAUUCCCCUAGUAACUGCGAGUGAAGCGGGAAAAGCUCAAAUUUAAAAUCUGGCAGUCUCUGGCUGUCCGAGUUGUAAUCUAGAGAAGUGAUGCCCGCGCUGGACCGUGUACAAGUCUCCUGGAAUGGAGCGUCAUAGAGGGUGAGAAUCCCGUCUCUGACACGGACUACCAGGGCUUUGUGGUAUCCUCUCAAAGAGUCGAGUUGUUUGGGAAUGCAGCUCUAAAUGGGUGGUAAAUUCCAUCUAAAGCUAAAUAUUGGCGAGAGACCGAUAGCGAACAAGUACCGUGAGGGAAAGAUGAAAAGAACUUUGGAAAGAGAGUUAAACAGUACGUGAAAUUGCUGAAAGGGAAACGCUUGAAGUCAGUCGCGUUAGCUGGGAAUCAGCCUCGCUCUUGCGUGGUGUACUUUCUGGUUGACGGGUCAGCAUCAAUUUUGACUGCUGGAAAAAGGCUUAGGGAAUGUGGCAGCUUCGGCUGUGUUAUAGCCCUUGGUCACAUACAGCGGUUGGGAUUGAGGAACUCAGCACGCCGCAAGGCCGGGUUUCGACCACGUUCGUGCUUAGGAUGCUGGCAUAAUGGCUUUAAGCGACCCGUCUUGAAACACGG